This 796-nucleotide ribosomal RNA is filed under the name uncultured bacterium. Its description in RNAcentral is "bacterial SSU rRNA". It matches the Rfam family "Bacterial small subunit ribosomal RNA", at positions 8 to 795 of the family's 1533-position model. The record is from RNAcentral.
AGAGUUUGAUCCUGGCUCAGAACGAACGCUGGCGGCGUGGAUUAGGCAUGCAAGUCGAGCGAGAAAGGGGUAGCAAUACCCCGAGUAAAGCGGCGAACUGGUGAGUAACAGGUGGGUAAUGUGCCUCGAAGUGGGGGAUAACACGGGGAAACCCGUGCUAAUACCGCAUACGAUGGGAGGGACCAUGGUCCUUUCGAUCAAAGACUUCGGUCGCUUCGAGAUCGGCCCGCCCCCGAUUAGCUAGUUGGUGAGGUCACGGCUCACCAAGGCUUCGAUCGGUAGCUGGUCUGAGAGGAUGGUCAGCCACACUGGGACUGAGAUACGGCCCAGACUCCUACGGGGGGCAGCAGUCUAGAGGCUUCGUCAAUGGGGGCAACCCUGAACGAGCGACGCCGCGUGCGGGAUUGAAGGCCUUCGGGUCGUAAACCGCUGUCAGGAGGGAAGAAUGCCCGAAUGGUGAAUUCGGGAGAGACGGUACCUUCGGAGGAAGCCCCGGCUAACUCCGUGCCAGCAGCCGCGGUAAUACGGAGGGGGCAAGCGUUGUUCGGAUUUACUGGGCGUAAAGGGUGUGUAGGCGGCCGCGUAAGUCUGGUGUGAAAUCUUCGCCGCUUAACGGGAAGAGGUCACUGGAUACUGCGUGGCUCGAGUAUGGUAGAGGCAAGCGGAAUUCCUGGUGUAGCGGUGGAAUGUGUAGAUAUCAGGAAGAACAUCUGUGGCGAANGCGGCUUGCUGGGCCAUCACUGACGCUGAGACACGAAAGCGUGGGGAGCAAACGGGAUUAGAUACCCUGGUAGUC